AGUGAACGCUGGCGGCAGGCCUAAUACAUGCAAGUCGAACGGCAGCACAGCAGAGCUUGCUCUGUGGGUGGCGAGUGGCGGACGGGUGAGGAAUACGCGGGAAUCUGCCCAGUCGUGGGGGAUAACGUAGGGAAACUUACGCUAAUACCGCAUGCGCCCUUCGGGGGAAAGCCGGGGACCUUCGGGCCUGGCGCGAUUGGAUGAGCCCACGUCGGAUUAGCUAGUUGGCGGGGUAAAGGCCCACCAAGGCGACGAUCCGUAGCUGGUCUGAGAGGAUGAUCAGCCACACUGGAACUGAGACACGGUCCAGACUCCUACGGGAGCAGCAGUAGGGAAUAUUGGACAAUGGGCGCAAGCCUGAUCCAGCCAUGCCGCGUGAGUGAAGAAGGCCCUCGGGUUGUAAAGCUCUUUUGUCCGGAAAGAAAAGCGCCGGGUUAAUACCCUGGUGUCCUGACGGUACCGGAAGAAUAAGCACCGGCUAACUUCGUGCCAGCAGCCGUCGGUAAAGUA
Molecule: ribosomal RNA, 510 nt
Filed under: uncultured bacterium
Lineage: Bacteria
Description: bacterial SSU rRNA
Rfam family: Bacterial small subunit ribosomal RNA
Source: RNAcentral